RNAcentral lists this long non-coding RNA (207 nucleotides) under Elaeis guineensis (African oil palm). RNAcentral describes it as "long non-coding RNA (EGUI_LNC075460)". Lineage: Eukaryota; Viridiplantae; Streptophyta; Magnoliopsida; Arecales; Arecaceae. The record is from RNAcentral.
UAUCUUUUGGUGCUAUAUUUGUACCCUACUUCAAACUUGUAAGAUAAUUCUUACAAUUAUUCUCUCAAUAUCCAAAUUUGCCACAAAAUAAAUAGCUAAUAGACAUCUUUUGCCUUUUCAUUAUUACUGACCAUCCCAAGGUCAAAAAUAUCCAGAACAUCAGAGUUCUUCUUUAAUAUUAACCUAACUUGCAAGUUCCUCAACCAA